UCUUCUUGAUUUUUUUCUUUUUGUCAUCUUGGUCUUUUGAUGUUUUGUAAAAUGUCAUUAAAAUCUAAAAGAAACAAUUGAAAACGAAACAAAAGAAAAAGGAAAUGUUAGUUAAUUUGCUUGAUACAAGGUCUGUUCCAAGAUAGUUUAUCAGUUAAUGCAGAUUGCAGCGUUUUGUUGGGCUGAUUUGGGGAAAAAUACACAUUAACCGCAGAGUUAAUUCAAGACCAGUACAUGAAAUGUUGUCAAAUUAUCAUAAAACCAAAGCUUUUAUGUCAUUUACGAUUGCUCGAGGACUUAAAGUAGCAUCAACUUUAAAUAUUCCUUCGGAAUCAUCAAUCUGCAACAAGUCUAGCUGCGAUUGCAAAAGAGUAGCUGGCAUGAAAUGCUUUCCUUCUGCAGCUCUUUUAUUUAGCCGCUCAGCAAGCACCUCAGCCUUGGCAUCAAGCAAUACAAACUUAGCUGCACUGACAUAGCUUCCAAGUUCAUAACUAGGGUCAGCAGAUCUAAGAAUUUCUCGAUAUUGCUUCUGGAGAGAAGAACAGCCAAGUAUAACAGUUUUUCCACCAGCUAACCUCUCUCUUAAGGCAUCCCGUAGACUUUCAAGCCAUGGAAUCCGGUCUUUAUCUGAUAGAGGAAUGCCUUGAUGCAUUUUUUCUGUAGUGUUGAAAAAUGCCAAUUCCAAAACUUUCAGUUGAGAGGGAUCAGAGAAGUCACUAUAUAUGAAGUGAAAAGGGGUUCAUCCAAUAGGGAAACAACUAAAUAUUACAAUAACUAGAUGUCAAUACCUUUGUUUGAUUGUGAGUGAAAAUCAUCGGCAUCGAGAAAACUACAAUUCAAUACUUUGGCCAGCAUCUCACCUAUUGUGCUGUUAAAGGUACCAAGAUCAAAAUAUAAAAAAACUACUAAGAGUGUCAUAUACACAGUGAACAGGAAAAAAGAAAUUGCACUGAAGAAUUGACUUCAGGGGGAAAACAGGCAAUCAUGAGGAUAGUAAACAUGUAGAACUAUAAAAGAAUCGAAUGUGGAUAGAACUUACGAUUUGCCAGCACCACUGACACCCAUAAUUACGAUAACUUUGCCUAUAAAUUGGAAAAAAAAAUUAGUGACCAAGAACUAGAAAGUGGAGAGUUGAUGAGCAAUUCAAAUAAUUGCAUAUAAAAUAAGGGAAAGAAACUAGUAGAAAAUGAAAUUUAUUUCAAACACAAAGGAAAAUUGACAAACGAAUAAUUUACCUUUGAGAGCAGGAGCCAUAUUUGGUCCACAGCUUAGUCAAACCUAUGAAGCUUUAGUAGCAAUAAAAAUAUGCAGCUCCAAAGAACUAACACUGAGAACAGAUCCUGUCUUUACCUAUGAAUGCCGCUUAGUAAAUAGAAUGAAAAAGGUCAGUUUCUG
RNAcentral lists this unclassified non-coding RNA (1395 nucleotides) under Hevea brasiliensis (rubber tree). Lineage: Eukaryota; Viridiplantae; Streptophyta; Magnoliopsida; Malpighiales; Euphorbiaceae. The record is from RNAcentral.